Molecule: long non-coding RNA, 351 nt
Filed under: Gopherus agassizii (Agassiz's desert tortoise)
Lineage: Eukaryota; Metazoa; Chordata; Testudines; Testudinidae
Description: lncRNA (ENSGAGG00000000384.1)
Source: RNAcentral
CUCUUCCUGGGCUGGAGCCUGGAAUGUCUGAAAGAGGCAGACGGGAGAGAGGAUUGCGGGCUGGCUGAGUCGGGCAAGCGCUAGCUGGAUACGAGUGGAAGAACCUGGUCUUGUGCACAGAUGGCCCAGUGGAAACCCUGAGUGCAGAGCGGCAAAGCCCCAUUUGUCCCAGUUAAACUUGGCUUCUAGCUUCUCUGGAGCAGCAAUCACACCAGGCUGCCUGUGCAUGGAGCCAGGAGGUGGAUUUGAUCAGCAGCAGGGCCAAGCACAGGUUCUCCUCACUGCUUUUUAAUGGGAAGUCUUUUAUCCUUUCUGAUCAUUGGAGGAAAUAUUGUUUUUGUCGACCCCGGG